This 497-nucleotide ribosomal RNA is filed under the name uncultured bacterium. RNAcentral's name for it is "partial 16S ribosomal RNA". It matches the Rfam family "Bacterial small subunit ribosomal RNA", at positions 28 to 507 of the family's 1533-position model. The record is from RNAcentral.
GAUGAACGCUGGCGGCGUGCCUAAUACAUGCAAGUCGAGCGAACAGACGAGGAGCUUGCUCCUCUGACGUUAGCGGCGGACGGGUGAGUAACACGUGGAUAUCCUACCUAUAAGACUGGGAUAACUUCGGGAAACCGGAGCUAAUACCGGAUAAUAUAUUGAACCGCAUGGUUCAAUAGUGAAAGACGGUUUUGCUGUCACUUAUAGAUGGAUCCGCGCCGCAUUAGCUAGUUGGUAAGGUAACGGCUUACCAAGGCAACGAUGCGUAGCCGACCUGAGAGGGUGAUCGGCCACACUGGAACUGAGACACGGUCCAGACUCCUACGGGAGGCAGCAGUAGGGAAUCUUCCGCAAUGGGCGAAAGCCUGACGGAGCAACGCCGCGUGAGUGAUGAAGGUCUUCGGAUCGUAAAACUCUGUUAUUAGGGAAGAACAAAUGUGUAAGCAACUAUGCACGUCUUGACGGUACCUAAUCAGAAAGCCACGGCUAACUACGUG